RNAcentral lists this ribosomal RNA (466 nucleotides) under uncultured bacterium. RNAcentral's name for it is "partial 16S ribosomal RNA". It matches the Rfam family "Bacterial small subunit ribosomal RNA", at positions 28 to 507 of the family's 1533-position model. The record is from RNAcentral.
GAUGAACGCUGGCGGCGUGCUUAACACAUGCAAGUCGAACGAUGAAGCCCAGCUUGCUAGGUGGAUUAGUGGCGAACGGGUGAGUAACACGUGAGUAACCUGCCCUUAACUCUGGGAUAAGCCUGGGAAACUGGGUCUAAUACCGGAUAGGAGCGUCCACCGCAUGGUGGGUGUUGGAAAGAUUUAUCGGUUUUGGAUGGACUCGCGGCCUAUCAGCUUGUUGGUGAGGUAAUGGCUCACCAAGGCGACGACGGGUAGCCGGCCUGAGAGGGUGACCGGCCACACUGGGACUGAGACACGGCCCAGACUCCUACGGGAGGCAGCAGUGGGGAAUAUUGCACAAUGGGCGCAAGCCUGAUGCAGCGACGCCGCGUGAGGGAUGACGGCCUUCGGGUUGUAAACCUCUUUCAGUAGGGAAGAAGCGAAAGUGACGGUACCUGCAGAAGAAGCACCGGCUAACUACGUG